GCUGUUCCAGAGGCGAGGCUGCGUGGAGCCGCUCUGCGGACCGGAGGCGGGUGCGCCUCGACUACCGUCAAAGAGAAUGGAGUUCGUAGGGAAACGGAGUUCGUGGGAAAAUGUUUAGGGAUGACCACACAGAACGGCGGUUCCAGGUCUUAUCACACUGGUUGAAGGACUUUGUAGAAAUAGAUUCCCAGGCAGCCCUGAUGAAACCAGGUGCCCGGCCCGGCCCCUUCUCUGAGCUCUCUCUCCUUAAGCUUCUUAAACAGAGGAUGGACUUUAUUAUGUUACUACUUCAUUCUUAGUGUUAAUAUUAAGGACGGAAUCUCCCCUUUUCUUAGGAAAGAAAGGCUUUGUAAUCACUGCCUUUGCUUUAAAGUCUGAAUGACUUUAGUCAUUAAGACUAAAAAGAAUACGCCAGAAUUUUUUUUUUUUUGGCCCAGAGUAAGUGGCUGAUCUUAAACGCUUAACCUCUGUUGGACUGGGUGAACUGCGGGAAGUUGUCUCCGUUGGUUCUAGAUCUCAGAAGUAAAAUCCCGCUCUCUGCUGUGGCCAUGGAGGGCAGUGGAGGGUGGCCCGGGUCCUUGAGCCCCUGCACCCAAGUGGGAGACUUGGAAGAAGCUCCUGGCUUCGGAUUCGCACAGCUCCGGCCCGUGCAGCCCUCUGGGGGAGUGAACCAGUGGAUGGAAGACCUCUCUCUCUGUUUCUACCUCUCUCUGUAACUCUUUCAGAUAAAAAUAAAUAGGCACUGUUCGGUCGGUUAGAGUCCCAGCUGAUCUACUUCCAAUCCAGCUCCCUGCUAUGGCCUGGAAAAGCAGUGAAAGGUGAUCCAAGUUACCCAAUCUAGUCUUGUUUACAGUCAAGAUGUGUACCAAGGAAUGACGUGCACUUCUUCACAAAGGUUGUAAUCAUGCCAAACUGAGUUUCCUCCUACUGCUUGUACAUAUCCAUUGUCUUGGCACCCUGGCUCUGCAGUUCUCCGGUCGGUUCUGUAUAUUUCUAUACCUCCUGACUGACAACACAAAGGCACAACUGGAUGCCAUGGAGGAAGUGAACCAGAAUUCUCUAAUUCUCAAAGACGACAUACUGCAUUUUGAAAGUGCUGAUAAGUACAUUAGCUCACUGACCUUCACAGUGACCCUGUGAGACAGAUAGGAUUGGGAAACCCCAUUUUACUGAUUUGUCUUCAAAAUGUUUAAACAACUUGGCUUAAGUCAUACAAAUCGUUGUCCCUAAAUACAAAGGGAAAGGCACUUCAUUGGGUUUAAAUUCUAGCUGGCCUGGGGCCAGCGCCCGUGGAACAGCACCCUGGCCUGAAGCACCAGCCUGAAGCACCUGCAUCCCAUGUGGGCCUCAGUCCGAGACCCGGCUGCUCCACUUCCUGUCCAGUUCUCUGCUAUGGCUUGGGAAAGCAGUAGAAGAUGGCCCAAGUCCUUGGGUCCUUGCACCCAUGUGGGAGACCGGGAAGAGGCUCCUGGCUCCUGGCUUUGGAUCGAUUGGCGGCUCUGGCUGUUGCAAGUGAACCAUCAGAUGAAAGACCUCUCUCUCUCUCUCUCU
Lepus europaeus (European hare) is the source of this 1551-nucleotide long non-coding RNA. RefSeq lists it as uncharacterized. The record is from RefSeq and is a predicted model, not a curated record. Lineage: Eukaryota; Metazoa; Chordata; Mammalia; Lagomorpha; Leporidae. The transcript has 3 exons.